CAGUCCUAUAUGUAUUAUUUUGAAGGGUAACUCCAAAAAAUUUAGGGGAUAUAACUUCUACCAUGCUAAAGAAUAAGAGUUGUUUGGCAUUUCUUUCAGAAAAAGAGUAUCUUGGUGAAGGAACUGAUACCUUUAAUAUAAAACUUUUGAAGUUUAACAGGUAGAAAAACUGACACAAUCUAGUGAACCCAUAGAAUUGAAUUUGAUUAGAUCAAAUCUAAAAUCUAUUGUAAAGGCACCAUUAAGG
Molecule: long non-coding RNA, 247 nt
Filed under: Elaeis guineensis (African oil palm)
Lineage: Eukaryota; Viridiplantae; Streptophyta; Magnoliopsida; Arecales; Arecaceae
Description: long non-coding RNA (EGUI_LNC050120)
Source: RNAcentral